This 102-nucleotide small nuclear RNA is filed under the name Neotoma lepida (desert woodrat). The record is from RNAcentral. Lineage: Eukaryota; Metazoa; Chordata; Mammalia; Rodentia; Cricetidae.
GUGCUCACUUUGGUAGCACAUACACUAAAAUUGGAAUGAUACAGAUUAGCAUGGCCCCUGUGCAAGGAUGACCCAUAAAUUCUUGAAGCAUUUCAUAUUUUU